Regulatory RNA element from Aeromonas hydrophila subsp. hydrophila ATCC 7966, 38 nucleotides. It matches the Rfam family "JUMPstart RNA". Lineage: Bacteria; Pseudomonadati; Pseudomonadota; Gammaproteobacteria; Aeromonadales; Aeromonadaceae. The record is from Rfam.
CAGCAAGCUCGAGGCUGGAAUUCAGGGGCGGUAGCGUU